CGGGGUGGAGUAACGCGUGGGUAACCGUGCCUCAUACAGGGGGAUAACAGUUGGAAACGACUGCUAAUACCGCAUAAGCGCACAGUGCUGCAUGGCACAGUGUGAAAAACUCCGGUGGUAUGAGAUGGACCCGCGUCUGAUUAGCUAGUUGGUGGGGUAACGGCCUACCAAGGCGACGAUCAGUAGCCGGCCUGAGAGGGUGAACGGCCACAUUGGGACUGAGACACGGCCCAA
Molecule: ribosomal RNA, 234 nt
Filed under: uncultured bacterium
Lineage: Bacteria
Description: partial 16S ribosomal RNA
Rfam family: Bacterial small subunit ribosomal RNA
Source: RNAcentral